AACGUAGGAGGCGAGCGUUAUCCGGAUUCACUGGGCGUAAAGCGCGCGUAGGCGGUCGGUCAAGUCGGACGUUAAAGCCCUUGGCUCAACUGGGGGAGGUCGUUCGAUACUGGUCGGCUUGAGGAUGAGAGGGGAGAGUGGAAUUCCCGGUGUAGCGGUGGAAUGCGUAGAGAUCGGGAGGAACACCAGUGGCGAAAGCGGCUCUCUGGCUCAUUCCUGACGCUGAGUGCGCGACAGCGUGGGGAGCAAACGGG
RNAcentral lists this ribosomal RNA (254 nucleotides) under uncultured bacterium. RNAcentral's name for it is "partial 16S ribosomal RNA". It matches the Rfam family "Bacterial small subunit ribosomal RNA", at positions 524 to 776 of the family's 1533-position model. The record is from RNAcentral.